RNAcentral lists this ribosomal RNA (473 nucleotides) under uncultured organism. RNAcentral describes it as "partial 16S ribosomal RNA". It matches the Rfam family "Bacterial small subunit ribosomal RNA", at positions 335 to 799 of the family's 1533-position model. The record is from RNAcentral.
ACUCCUACGGGAGGCAGCAGUGGGGAAUUUUGGACAAUGGGCGAAAGCCUGAUCCAGCAAUGCCGCGUGAGUGAAGAAGGCCUUCGGGUUGUAAAGCUCUUUUGUCAGGGAAGAAACGGUGAAAGCUAAUAUCUUUUGCUAAUGACGGUACCUGAAGAAUAAGCACCGGCUGACUACGUGCCAGCAGCCGCGGUAAUACGUAGGGUGCAAGCGUUAAUCGGAAUUACUGGGCGUAAAGCGUGCGCAGGCGGUUUUGUAAGUCUGAUGUGAAAUCCCCGGGCUCAACCUGGGAAUUGCAUUGGAGACUGCAAGGCUAGAAUCUGGCAGAGGGGGGUAGAAUUCCACGUGUAGCAGUGAAAUGCGUAGAUAUGUGGAGGAACACCGAUGGCGAAGGCAGCCCCCUGGGUCAAGAUUGACGCUCAUGCACGAAAGCGUGGGGAGCAAACAGGAUUAGAAACCCUAGUAGUCCCAUG